ACGAAAAAAAAAAAGCAUAUGUCAUGUCACCCUGUCAGAUUCUCACAUGAUACAGUCAUUCGCAAGUAAUCCACUUUCGUUUUCCGUAUUGAAAGGGGUAACAUAAAGGUAAAUUAACGCACAUAUCUCAUAGAAAUUCUCAAAAAAAAUUAAUAUAUGAUAUUUCAUUAGGAAAAUUAGUUUAUAGUUUUGUAUUUAUAAAUUAUUAUACUGUUACUUGUACUUAUGAUAUUUUGAAUGUCUUUAUAAAAUAACAUGGAUGUAAACGCUUUUACAAAUAUUACUACCAGGAACGAAAAAGUUUAAUUAGAAUUCACCGAAAGAAUAAAGGUUGUAAGCGUGCAUUAUUGAGAAAACAGGAUGUGUAUAAGUGUAUUCGUUUCUUUACGUGCAAUCUAGUUGAAGGAAGUUUCAAUUAUAAUUCACCGAAAGAAUCCUUUUGAUUGAUAAAUUUUGAGAAAGGGUGUGGCGUAGGUAACACGCGCUGAAGAGAAGACGGAGCACGAAUCAGCCUAAUCUGGUCCAAGUUGGGUUUGAAACUUGAAUGUGGAUAGAUACACAAUGGAAGGCCGUUAUUGAAUCUUAAAUUGUUUGCGUCGUGGGUCCCCCCAUUCACAUGGCUUUUCCUUCUCGUGUUUAGGCAUGUCGUAUCACUCGAAAUUGCGUUUCCACCACCUCGAAACGAAAAUAAAUAUGUUAAAAACUUAUUAGUUUAUGCAUUUAUAUGUUGCUAAUAAAAAGGGUUUAUAACGUGCAUAUGCGGCUUAUUGGGCCGAUUACAAAUCGCUUGUUUUUUGUUACAAUAUUCACUGUUCCGAAGAGAACAACCCACAAAAGGUAUAACAUUCGCCUCUCCAGAACCGACCUGAACAGAAGCAACCUAAAUAUGGGUUUCGGGCCUAGAAAAUGUGCUUUUAAAUCCCCGACUAUUAGAAAUCAUCACUUUUAAUAUCCAACUAACUCUUCUGGAGAUUUAAUUCAAAAAAUAUCGUUGACUGCACAAAAUCAGAUAUUAAAAAGUUAAAUGUUAAUUAUUACAUGAAUUAAAAUUAGUAAAAAGAUUGGUUUAGCUUUUAAAAACCCAGAAAUUCUUAAAAUUAACUAUGUAAGAUAAUGGAGGAGAUUUUAAUCGAGUUCAAACGAUUUUUGGUGAAAAAAAAGAAAGUUUCAGUGAGAAUAUAAAACUUCCGAUAUUGAAAAUGGAGAACAUGAUUCCUUUUUUU
Molecule: long non-coding RNA, 1223 nt
Organism: Brassica rapa (field mustard)
Lineage: Eukaryota; Viridiplantae; Streptophyta; Magnoliopsida; Brassicales; Brassicaceae
Source: RefSeq, a predicted model, not a curated record